Oncorhynchus nerka (sockeye salmon) is the source of this 2430-nucleotide long non-coding RNA. RefSeq lists it as uncharacterized. The transcript is spliced from 3 exons. The record is from RefSeq and is a predicted model, not a curated record. NCBI's taxonomy places the organism in Eukaryota, Metazoa, Chordata, Actinopteri, Salmoniformes, Salmonidae.
GCUGGCAGAAGGAUAUAUCUACUGUACUGUCGUUGACAUAUCUGUGUGUUCAAUUUCAUCCGUUUUUUUGGUUAAAAAUGUAACAUAGCGGUUCAUAAUUAACUACCAAAUUCAAGAUGUGGCAGCCCGAUCCUUUCCACAAUGAGUUGGUCUCUAUUAUGGAUGAAUUAAUCAUGUCGUUGGAAGAGGAAAUUUGCAAAUGUAUGGCGUUGUCGGUCUCCUCAACACAAUACAGCACAGACAUUGAUGCAGGAGAGACAGGGGAAAUUGAAAGAGAAUCCAAGUUGCUAAAAGUCGAGUUGACAUGUGUGAUGAAAAAGUUCGUGAAACAGACUCUCGCCAAAAUCAACCAGUUGAUCUCUAAAGGCACUGAAGCACUGCGUUCAGAGAUAUGCCAGAGUCAAAAUGAGAUGAAAUCUCUGAAAAUGAAGCUAUUGGAGAUGACUGUUGGUAAGGAAGUACCUGAAAAUACAGUGGAAAGAACCUCACAGACAGAGGAAGAGGAGGAAUGGACAGAAGCAUCAUUAUCACCAGAGUUUGCAGAGGAUUUUCAGGUUGACGUGCCAACUCCCAGUGGUGAGGCUGACAACACUACAAAUGUCAAGAAGGAGACCACGAUCAGAGCUAAAACCAUAGCGUUGGAACAGUCAUUUACAUCUCUAGCUAAAAUACCUUCCUCCUCACUCAUUGAGUCUAUCAAACAGGUGGCUAUUACAGACAAACAGGCAGCAAGCAGGCCUACAGACAAACAGUCAGCGAGCAGGCCUACAGAUGAUCAGGCCCCAAGUACAGACCCCCAAACUCCCAGUGGGGACUCUGUGGUGUCCACCAGACCCAGGAGGAAGAAGAAGAGAAUAGAAGCACAACCCACAGCGGCAGAAUCAGACAGAAGUGAGGAAAACGCUGAUGACCAAUGGGAGGAGGAGAAUGCUAAAGCUGGACAAACCUCGAAUGAUGAAUAUGUUCACAACAUAAAGCCAAGGCCCAACAUAAAGAAAAACCAGACGACCACCACCAGGAAAGAGCACCACUGUCUGGACUGCGGUAAGAUUUUUAAGAAUUCAAGUAAUUUAAAACUGCAUCAACAGACUCACACAGGAGAGAGACCUUAUUGUUGUGAAUUAUGCGGGAAAUUUUUCCCGACUGCUUGGAAGCUCAGAAUACACCAAGCAGUGGUCCACAGAAGAGAGAAGCCACUUGAGUGUCCAACAUGUGGGAAGUGCUUUGCAACAAAGAGUUAUUUGGACACUCACGCAAGCGUUCAUUCAACAGAGAAACCGUUCCGAUGCCUCGUGUGUCAGAAGUGUUUUAAAAGUAAAAAGGGCUUCAAGGAACACACAAUGAUGCACAAUUCAAAUUCAGAUUCAUAUGCGUGUGACAAAUGUCCAAAAACCUUUGUUAAGUUGAAAUACCUCAAGAAUCACCAGCUAACUCACAGUGGGGGAGGAGCUCACCGUUGUGAAUUGUGUGGGAAAGGUUUCAAGACUCCUUCUCAGCUCAAACAACACCAAGCAUCAGUCCAUAGGGGAGAGAAGCCAUUCCAAUGUCCCACAUGUGGGAAAUGCUUCGCAACAAAGACAAAUUUGAAAAUUCACACAAGUGUUCAUUCAGGAGAGAGAGCAUUCCAGUGCCCUCAGUGUCAGAUGUGUUUCAAAACCAAGUAUACUCUUAAUGCCCAUAAGAAGACACACACGGACUCCAAGCCAUAUGCUUGUGACAAAUGCCCAAUGACCUUUAUCCGGUCACAUUACCUCAGAAGGCAUGAAAUCUCGCACCUGACCAGCAAGCCAUUCGUGUGCAGCCACUGUGGGAAAGGCUUUAAAGGUGAACGUGGGCUCAAGGCACACGAACGCACCCACACCGAAGACCCAACUUAUACCUGUGACGAAUGUGGCAAGGGUUUCUAUCAACACGAAUCGUUUCAAGUCCAUGCGGCCUUGCACACCGGAGAGAAGCCGUUCACCUGUGAUUGCUGCAGUAAAAACUUUGCUCUGGCAUCCUACCUUAAAACCCACAUCGCAAAUCAUCACUCUGUCACCAAACCCCACGUCUGUGGGAAAUGUGGCAGGAAAUAUAAGGAUUUCACCCAUUUCAGAAUCCAUAUGUUUCAGGGUUGUCAAGAGUAGGCUGCAGCUUUUGGUUUGACGACUUAUUGUUAUAAGUUGUAAUAUGUUAUGUUUUCACUACAAACAUGCAUGUUUCCUUGCACAGUACCAAUAACAUUUGUUUUGAAUAGAUUGUUUUUUAUGUCUACAGACGUGGCCAUUAAUAAAAACCUUACCAGGGGAUCUAUAAACCUCUCUUAAAUUGCACCUCUGGUUGGAUGCAGGUUAAAGGCACAACCUGUAACUUUCAUUCUGACAAUGCUUUGUCAUUCAUUGUUAUUUUGGAAUUGUGAUUAAAGUUGUAAUGUUCUUAUUUCACUACAAA